GACGAACGCUGGCGGCGUGCUUAACACAUGCAAGUCGAGCGAUGAAGCACCUUCGGGUGUGAAUUAGCGGCGAACGGGUGAGUAACACGUGACUAACCUGCCCCUUACUCUGGGAUAACGCUCCGAAAGGAGUGCUAAUACCGGAUAUUUAAUUUGGAACACAUGUUUUGAAUUAGAAAGUUUUUCGGUAAGGGAUGGAGUCGCGGCCUAUCAGCUUGUUGGUGAGGUAAUGGCUCACCAAGGCGACGACGGGUAGCCGGCCUGAGAGGGCGACCGGCCACACUGGAACUGAGACACGGUCCAGACUCCUACGGGAGGCAGCAGUGGGGGAAAUAUUGCACAAUGGGCGAAAGCCUGAUGCAGCGACGCCGCGUGAGGGACGACGGCCUCGGUUGUAA
RNAcentral lists this ribosomal RNA (398 nucleotides) under uncultured bacterium. RNAcentral's name for it is "bacterial SSU rRNA". It matches the Rfam family "Bacterial small subunit ribosomal RNA", at positions 28 to 428 of the family's 1533-position model. The record is from RNAcentral.